This 548-nucleotide ribosomal RNA is filed under the name uncultured Glomus. Its description in RNAcentral is "SSU rRNA". It matches the Rfam family "Eukaryotic small subunit ribosomal RNA", at positions 548 to 1098 of the family's 1831-position model. Lineage: Eukaryota; Fungi; Glomeromycota; Glomeromycetes; Glomerales; Glomeraceae. The record is from RNAcentral.
UUGGAGGGCAAGUCUGGUGCCGGCAGCCGCGGUAAUUCCAGCUCCAAUAGCGUAUAUUAAAGUUGCUGCGGUUAAAAAGCUCGUAGUUGAAUUUCGGGACCAAUAUGUCGGUCGUGCCUCGGUACGUACUGGCAUCGUUGGUUUCUCCCUUCUGACGAACCAUGAUGUCAUUUAUUUGGUGUCGUGGGGAAUCAGGACUGUUACUUUGAAAAAAUUAGAGUGUUUAAAGCAGGCUCACGCUUGAAUACAUUAGCAUGGAAUAAUGAAAUAGGGCGUUUGAUUCUAUUUUGUUGGUUUCUAGGAUCGACGUAAUGAUUAAUAGGGAUAGUUGGGGGCAUUAGUAUUCAAUUGUCAGAGGUGAAAUUCUUGGAUUUAUUGAAGACUAACUACUGCGAAAGCAUUUGCCAAGGAUGUUUUCAUUAAUCAAGAACGAAAGUUAGGGGAUCGAAGACGAUCAGAUACCGUCGUAGUCUUAACCAUAAACUAUGCCGACUAGGGAUCGGAUGAUGUUAAUUUUUUAAUGACUCAUUCGGCACCUUACGGGAAAC